UGCCGUUUCGGCUUACUACCUUUCGCAGCCGGAAGAGGAAGUGUAAUGUAUUUGUUGAUGGUGUCAUGGUCACCGCUGUUGACUGAUGAAAGUAUCAACUACUUUCAGGUGAUGCACAAUGUGAUGGCUGCAGUGAACUGUUGCUGAUGUUGACAUGGGAUGUGCUUUGUCAUCUUCAAAGCACAACAGUAAAGCACCUGCUAACUCAGCCGGCCGAAAUAUACGCAUCAACAUAAUUGAACCGACAAGCAUUGGGGAACACAGUGAUAUAGCAUUGCAGUCUCCAAGUUCCCAGCCCAGUGAAUCUGGUGUUGUGUCUACAGAUACCCAGACUCAAGACGUG
Haliotis rubra (blacklip abalone) is the source of this 343-nucleotide long non-coding RNA. RefSeq lists it as uncharacterized. The transcript has 3 exons. NCBI's taxonomy places the organism in Eukaryota, Metazoa, Mollusca, Gastropoda, Lepetellida, Haliotidae. The record is from RefSeq and is a predicted model, not a curated record.